CCAUCACCAACACCAUGUCCUCCCUGGUGAAGGAGCUGCACUCGGCAGAGGAAGAAGACGAAGAAGAAACAGAGAAGCUGCAGAAUGGGAAGGACCGAGGUGAGGAGACAAAGCUGUCUGAGAGCUCUGCAGCAUUUUCUGACUCACUCAGGGUUCUCUGGCUCCCUUUGGAGCCCCACCAGGGCCUCUGGGUGCACGUGGGUGGCUCUGGGUGCCUCUGGAUCAGAUGGCUCUGGACCACAUGGAUGGCUCUGGAUCAGAUGUGCUGAUGGGGUUCCAUGGUGACCUCAGCUGGACACGUGUCCCUGUGCUGGGUCCCAUGGUGUCCCUGUGCUGGGUCCCUCAGUGUCCC
This 352-nucleotide long non-coding RNA is filed under the name Parus major (Great Tit). RNAcentral describes it as "lncRNA (ENSPMJG00000007446.1)". Lineage: Eukaryota; Metazoa; Chordata; Aves; Passeriformes; Paridae. The record is from RNAcentral.